GCAAACUUGGUCAUUUAGAGGAAGUAAAAGUCGUAACAAGGUAACCGUAGGUGAACCUGCGGUUGGAUCAUUAAAAAGAUCGUUGGAGCAAUCCAAGUUUCCUUGGGGAGCUCCUUUGUCUCACUCUUUGUGAGUCAUAACAUAUUGUGCACUGUUUUCGUCUCUGGCGGUGGGAUGGCAUUUCUUUAUUGAUGUGGCCAUCUGUCAGCAUGCCUUUACUGUCGUGCCGUGGACAAGCCGCCAACCAUCUUUUAUAAACAUUGUUUUUCUUUAAAGCGUCUAACCUAAACCAUUUUUGUGUAUGCAAUAUACAAAAACAACUUUUGGCAACGGAUCUCUUGGCUCUCGCAUCGAUGAAGAACGCAGC
RNAcentral lists this unclassified non-coding RNA (367 nucleotides) under uncultured fungus. Its description in RNAcentral is "partial contains small subunit ribosomal RNA, internal transcribed spacer 1, and 5.8S ribosomal RNA". The stretch from base 1 to 73 matches the Rfam family "Eukaryotic small subunit ribosomal RNA", at positions 1759 to 1831 of the family's 1831-position model. The record is from RNAcentral. Lineage: Eukaryota; Fungi.